Spinacia oleracea (spinach) is the source of this 842-nucleotide long non-coding RNA. RefSeq lists it as uncharacterized. The record is from RefSeq and is a predicted model, not a curated record. Lineage: Eukaryota; Viridiplantae; Streptophyta; Magnoliopsida; Caryophyllales; Amaranthaceae. The transcript has 4 exons.
UAAUUUUAUUUUUCAUUUUCAAAAUUUUCAAUUCUUCCAUUCUUCCCUCACCUCAGCUCUACCGGAAACACCGCCCUUCUUCUUCUUCUUCUUCGAUCUUCCUCUCAACUUUGUUCACCUUCCCAUCUACAUUGUUCAUCUUCCUCUCUACUUUGUUCAACUCUGGGUUUUUUCUCUCUCCUCUGCUUCUCAGUCAUUCUCCUCUACUCCUCUUAUCUGGUGCGGUAGAAAAAUAUUUCACAAGCAGACCUAACUUGCCGUAAUUCAACCACGGAGACCUAGGUUGCCGAGAUUUCACAAGCAAACCUAGCACGACGGCACCAUUACCUUCUCUUGCCGGGAUUUUGAUUUGUAAUUAAGUUUAAGAAAUUAGGGUUUUUGAAGAAUUUCGGGAUUUGGGAGUUCGGGCGUUUCGUAUCGGCGGCAAAGCACUACUCGGAACCACUCCACAGCAGCAGCGGAGUGACGGACGAUAGCCCGCGGUGGUGGUUGACGGAGCUUGCUAGGAUGAUUGGUGAAUGGUGGUUCCUUCAAUGUCAGAAAUUAAAGCCAUGGUUGCUGACAUGCUAGACUUGCGUUUCGCGGAUGAUUCUUUUGAUGUGGUUAUUGAGAAAGGAACAAUGUGGUGAUCCGUGGAACCCAAAACCUGAAACCGUAAGCAAGGUAACGACAAUGCUUCAAGGCAUCAUCGGGUCUUGAAGCCAGAUGGUAUCUGCAUAUCAAUUUCUUUUGGGCAGCCACACUUCAGGCGUCCGUUAUUUGAAGCUCCUAAUUUUACAUGGUCUAUGAAAUGGAGUACCUUUGGUGAUGGAUUCCAUUAUUUCUUCUACACUCUAAAGAAG